Molecule: long non-coding RNA, 508 nt
Organism: Macrobrachium nipponense
Lineage: Eukaryota; Metazoa; Arthropoda; Malacostraca; Decapoda; Palaemonidae
Exons: 3
Source: RefSeq, a predicted model, not a curated record
AACCCCCUGAAUGAUGUAGGCUAUGGGGCCACAUAAGACUUUGUCCAUCCAGGGUUACAUUGAACGACAACUUUAAACUAAAGAACCCCCUGAAUGAUGUAGGCUAUGGGGCCACAUAAGACUUUGUGCAUCCAGGGUUACAUAGCAGGACAACUUUAAACUAAAAAGCUACCAGACUGGGAUUUUAGUGUACUCCAGGAUCUACCAAAUACUACUACGAAGUGUACAGUGCAUAAUAGUGUUAGUGUAUAAUCUAACCUAAGGAUUAAGUGUAGUACAUUGUGCUUUAUAGUGUCACAAGAGUUUAAUAAAGAAUUAUACCUUCAAGAACCAUCCUUUGCCAUUGAAAUAACCACACUACACAUCAUGCAAUAUACUUGCAUGUCACACAGGUAAGGUCUCUAACUUUUUCUUAGUUUAAGGCAUAUUUCCAAGUGUCGUUCCGGCUUACGACGAUUUUCGGCUUACGACGCGCCUCAAGAACGGAACCCCCGUCGUAACCCGGGGA